UACGUAGGCAGCGAGCGUUGUUCGGAGUUACUGGGCGUAAAGGGUGCGUAGGCGGUUGUUUAAGUUUGGUGUGAAAUCUCCCGGCUCAACUGGGAGGGUGCGCCGAAUACUGAAUGACUAGAGUGUGGGAGAGGAUAGUGGAAUUCCUGGUGUAGCGGGGAAAUGCGUAGAUAUCAGGAGGAACACCGGUGGUGUAGACGGCUAUCUGGACCGUAACUGACGCUGAGGCACGAAAGCGUGGGUAGCAAACAGG
This 253-nucleotide ribosomal RNA is filed under the name uncultured bacterium. Its description in RNAcentral is "partial 16S ribosomal RNA". It matches the Rfam family "Bacterial small subunit ribosomal RNA", at positions 524 to 776 of the family's 1533-position model. The record is from RNAcentral.